GAAGGUUUUGAUGGGCCGAAGGUCUAGAAGGGUCGGCCCAUAUGUCAAGAGCAAUCAACCUAGGACGAAGGGCAAGACAAGCUGAAGGCUUCAAAACUCAGACUCUGACGAACCGUCCACGGUCAAAAUUUAGCAUAAUUUUGUUGUGUCGGCCAUGGAAGAAAUUUGGCCCACUUUGGUUGGGUUGGCUCGGGAGAAAUUUGGUUGAAUUUGGCAAAGUCAUUCAUGAAUGAAAUUUGGUCGAAUUCGACCAAGUCG
Molecule: long non-coding RNA, 258 nt
Filed under: Vigna radiata
Lineage: Eukaryota; Viridiplantae; Streptophyta; Magnoliopsida; Fabales; Fabaceae
Description: long non-coding RNA (VRAD_LNC002957)
Source: RNAcentral